UACGGAAGGCAGCAGGGGGAAUAUUGCACAAUGGGCGCAAGCCUGAUGCAGCCAUGCCGCGUGUAUGAAGAAGGCCUUCGGGUUGUAAAGUACUUUCAGUCGUGAGGAAGGUGUUAAGGUUAAUAACCUUAGCAAUUGACGUUAGCGACAGAAGAAGCACCGGCUAACUCCGUGCCAGCAGCCGCGGUAAUACGGAGGGUGCGAGCGUUAAUCGGAAUUACUGGGCGUAAAGGGCACGCAGGCGGUUAAUUAAGUUGGAUGUGAAAUCCCCGGGCUUAACCUGGGAAUGGCAUUCAAGACUGGUUAGCUAGAGUCUUGUAGAGGGGGGUUAGAAUUCCAUGUGUAGCGGUGAAAUGCGUAGAGAUGUGGAGGAAUCCGGUGGCGAAGGCGGCCCCUGGACAAAGACUGACGCUCAUGUGCGAAAGCGUGGGGAGCAAACAGGGAUUAGAUACCCGU
RNAcentral lists this ribosomal RNA (456 nucleotides) under uncultured bacterium. RNAcentral describes it as "bacterial SSU rRNA". It matches the Rfam family "Bacterial small subunit ribosomal RNA", at positions 340 to 789 of the family's 1533-position model. The record is from RNAcentral.